GACGAACGCUGGCGGCGUGCUUAACACAUGCAAGUCGAACGGUAAGGCCCUUCGGGGUACACGAGUGGCGAACGGGGGAGUAAGACGAGGGUGAUAUGCCCUGCACUUCGGGAUAAGCCUGGGAAACUGGGUCGAAUACCGGAUAGGACUCCUGGCUUCAUGGAUGGGGGUGGAAAGCUUUUGCGGUUUGGGAUGGUCCCGCGGCCUAUCGGCUUGUUGGUGGGGUAAUGGCCUACCAAGGCGACGACGGGUAGCCGGCCUGAGAGGGUGACCGGUAACACUGGGACUGAGAUACGGGCCAGACUCCUACGGGAGGCAGCAGUGGGGAAUAUUGCACAAUGGGCGCAAGCCUGAUGCAGCGACGCCGCGUGAGGGAUGACGGCCUUCGGGUUGUAAACCUCUUUCAGCUAUGACGAAGCGCAAGUGACGGUAGUAGCAGAAGAAGGACCGGCCAACUACGUGCCAGCAGCCGCCGUAA
This 478-nucleotide ribosomal RNA is filed under the name uncultured bacterium. RNAcentral describes it as "partial 16S ribosomal RNA". It matches the Rfam family "Bacterial small subunit ribosomal RNA", at positions 28 to 523 of the family's 1533-position model. The record is from RNAcentral.